Xanthomonas oryzae pv. oryzae is the source of this 79-nucleotide small RNA. It matches the Rfam family "Xanthomonas sRNA sX9". The record is from Rfam. Lineage: Bacteria; Pseudomonadati; Pseudomonadota; Gammaproteobacteria; Lysobacterales; Lysobacteraceae.
AUGUACCAUAUGCGUACACUGCGGUUCUGAGCGCGCCGUCCACGCCCACCUGACGAGCGCUCGCGACGUUUUGUUAGCC